Molecule: long non-coding RNA, 873 nt
Filed under: Lactuca sativa (garden lettuce)
Lineage: Eukaryota; Viridiplantae; Streptophyta; Magnoliopsida; Asterales; Asteraceae
Description: long non-coding RNA (LSAT_LNC005923)
Source: RNAcentral
UAAAUAACAAAAACGUGAUUAAUUUUCUCAUUCAGUUAAAAACAAAUACAUUCCCAACAUACAAUAUAUUGUUAUCUGAUACCGUAAAUGUAGAUAUCAAAAAAAACGAAAUUGAUGUUAGGUACAAAAAUGUUUGAGUAAGUUUUAUUUUUAUGGGUGGAUAAUUUGUGUUAUGUAUCUUGCUUCUUCCUAAUGCUUCUUUGCCUCCACCUGCAAGCCAAAAGUUUGAAACUUUGAGAUAAUAUUUGACCUCGAGAAACCCAAAAGUUCCAAGUUGUGAACAAAAGAAAAUACAUGAGAAAUCAAGUGCAAACAAAAAAAAUACCUUGACCCGACAGACAUUUCAUCAAACAACUGUCUUGCACCCAUAUUUUAUCAAAUUGACAAGAAAACUAUAGAAAAGUUAUUAAACUACUACCUUAGCAGGUAAAAAAUCAAGGGGAAAAUAACCAAACGGUAGAGAGGGAGUUUAGACCGAACCAAAAAAUCAAGGGGAAAAGAAUCAAACUUUUUAAUGUAAAAUGUGAAAUCAAACCUCAAAACGGUGGGACGAUGGCAGAUUACAGAGAGGAAAGUCAUCAUGGCAAUAGGCUAAAUCGUGUCGGUGGUGCCUGUUCGAAGCAAAAGCUGUGUUUUUUCCUAUUUGUAAGCUAUCACUUCUUGCUUUUUGAUGUAGGAGGAGAUUGAUGAUCUUUGGAGCUAGGGUUUCGUAUGGAAAACAAGGAGAGAAGAAUUAAAAACGGAUUCAAAAUUUAAGAGUAAGGUGAAGAGGAGAUAAAUUGGCCGGAUUUAAAGGAGCUCAAAGAACGUAAUUAAUCAUAUGGGAGUUUUAAAGAGAGCAGGGGCAUUCUUGAUACUUUGAAAAGAAAAAAG